Long non-coding RNA from Phycodurus eques (leafy seadragon), 1537 nucleotides. RefSeq lists it as uncharacterized. The record is from RefSeq and is a predicted model, not a curated record. NCBI's taxonomy places the organism in Eukaryota, Metazoa, Chordata, Actinopteri, Syngnathiformes, Syngnathidae. The transcript has 2 exons.
CCAUGCUGCAUAACGCUCUUUGAGGUUGAACAGCACAGCGGGCUCGUGGAGGAACGUCAACAUGGCCAUGUCCUCGAGCUUGUCAAAUUUUGGAGGAUUCUGUUGCAGAACCUGGGAGUCUUUGACAGUCACCGUCUAUGGAACGUGAAGAAGUUAACACUGGCCCCAUCUCGACUUGUGAUGGAAGCCUUCACAAACUCUUCCGCCGCAUCAGGGACAAAACAUUCCUUCUUUAUGUCGAAGGGACGAGUGGAAGCCUCCAUGCGUUCCUUCUCCGACUUCCGCAGGUACGGGGCAGCUAUCCCAUACAUAGACAUCUCUGCGUCUCCCAUGGCUGCACUGGAAACGGAGAGAAUGAGGACCAUUAUGGAUGGGAAUCACAAGCUCUUUUUUUUAUAUAUACACUGUAAUUAUGAAACCAUUUUUAAAAUGUGGAACAACUCCAUCCGGCCAUCCAUCAUUUUCAUCAAUACUGAAUUGAUUAUUUUGUGAAUUAACAGCAUAACCAUUUCAAAUUUGUGUGGAAUUUACCAGUACGUUCAACUCAGAGGAACUCAGAAGACUUGAGAGUAUGAAAACGAAGCCCUUCAGCUAGAAAGAAAGCAAAGAGAAAAGAUAUCAGGGUUUUAUUAUCAUCUCUAAAUGUUUGUUUGAUUCAUGUGUAAGAUACUUACACCAGUUGUCACAAAUCCUAAAGUAUAUCUAAUUACUAUUUUGUUAUAAGAUGAGGCACAUUGCAGGAAAAUUGAUGAAUAAUUUAAAGUUGAGCAGACUUACAAGAUGCAGGUGAGGAGGAAGCAGCUGUGCAACCUGCUGGGAUCACAUUUAUAAAGCCUGCUAACCCUGCCUUAAUAGGCCACCACCCUAAUUUCCAAAUACACACACAACAGCUCCCCAUCACUUUCAUCACUUGUGACAUGGCUCUCUGCAGCUUUCAUGUUUGGCUGCCCUCUGUGCCUGUUGGUCUGGAGCUGUGGACCCCUCCUGCCCAAAUAAUGUGACUUAUUGGGAACAUCGCCAGGAACUUUCUCCCACAUAACUCAUCUAUGAGUCACAUAAAGCACAGACUCCCCACUAUCUUUGUUUUGACCACGUUUGUCAGUCAACUGUUCUGCGAAAUCAUUUUUCCAAGUGAGACUAAGAGAGAAUAGAAAUGCCUGUGAAGAUGCCUAUGAGAACAGAUAUACUGUGUGUGUGUGUGUGUGUGUGUGUCUGUGCAUGUAUAUGUGUAUAUAUAUAUAUAUAUAUAUAUACAGUGGGUACGGAAAAUAUUCAGACCCCCUUAAAUUUGUCACUCUUUUCUUUAUAUUGCAGCCAUUUGUUAAAAUCAUUUAAUUUAAUUUUUCUGCUCAUUAAUGUACACUCAGCACCCCAUAUUGACGGAAGAAAACAGAAUUGAUUCAUUGAUCAUUUUCCGAAGUUAUUGUAGGAUGUCACAGCAUCAUCUAUAACUGUUAUUUCGGGUGACUAUUUUGUAAAUUGUAUAUAGAUGUAUCUUUUCUGGAAGUGUUUGGUCAAUAAAAACAUUAAAAAAUGA